This is a non-coding RNA of Cinara cedri, 252 nucleotides long. NCBI's taxonomy places the organism in Eukaryota, Metazoa, Arthropoda, Insecta, Hemiptera, Aphididae. The record is from the annotation of a GenBank genome assembly.
AGCCUACUAUUGGAAGUUAUUAAAGUAGCCGGAAAUCUUUUUGAAAUUUUAUUUGAACAUUUCCAUCGAACACUCGAAACAAGUUUAUGAUAAACCGUAGAUAUAUGAAUACCCAUUAAAUAACUAUUUUUAAAUUUUUUUAAUGUGGUAUAAAUAUAGUUGAAAAAUAAUAAUAUAAUUCUGUUUUUCGGAUUUUUUCACCGACAAUAAAAAAAAAUGAGUGGACUUUAUGUCCAUGAACCUUUUGUCCCC